RNAcentral lists this long non-coding RNA (13131 nucleotides) under Vitis vinifera (wine grape). Its description in RNAcentral is "long non-coding RNA (VVIN_LNC003280)". Lineage: Eukaryota; Viridiplantae; Streptophyta; Magnoliopsida; Vitales; Vitaceae. The record is from RNAcentral.
CUACCCAGAAGAGUGGCUCAAGUUCACAUUCAGAAUUUAUUUGUUGAAAGAGUAUCUCCACUUUAUCACAAUCGAGCACUUCCAAUUCUUUCAGAAGUGGCCAGCUUGAACUAAACCUUCUAGAGCAAAAUCUUUUGAGUUGGUGUAAACCGGAGAGUGUGAGAGAGGUAAGGUUAGGGAAUGAGAGUAAAGGUGCUGCUUCAUCUUCAUUUUCAUUGGCAACAAUUGCCUCCACUCCACUCUCCGAUAUAUAAAGGUCCUCAAGUUGCACAAGAGCACUCGCCACAGAAACCGGAAAAAGGUUUAGCAAUUUGUUGCAUCCCCUUCCUUGCAAUUUCCUUAAUUUGGAAAAUGAAUUUGCUGGAAGUUGGUCAGGCCACAAUGCUCUUAUAUUAUCUAGUCCACGUACAGACAAGGACUCCAAGCCUGGGAGUGCAACCUGUGCAAUUGAUGAUCCCUUUAGUUAAUAAUAUAUACAUAUACAUUCCUAAUAAUUAGACACAUGUAAAUAGAAAAUAAGAGGUUAAAGGAGAAUAUAUCAGUAUAACAAAGCACAAAAUUUAAACUAGAUUCAAGAAGAUCAAGAAAGAGAAAAGAAAAGAAAAAGCCUCCAGAUUUUGAAGAUACAAUGAAACUUAAAAAAAAAAAAAAAAAAACUUCCAAAUUUUCCUUUCGAAAUGAGGUAAUAAGAGGAUUUUUUUUUUCUUUUUUCUUUGCCUCUCUUUCAAAUUUGAUUAACUUCUAUGGAAAACGUAUUUUAACUAGUUAUGGAAAACCGAUUUUUUUUUUUUUAACUUUUAUAUAAGAUACAAGUAAUACUUUAAAAAAAUUGUGAUAUCUAAAUAAUUUUUUGAAAAAUUAUUUUUAAAGAAAUAAGGUAAAUCUAUACUUUUUGUACAAGAUGUUCUACCUUUAUAUACAAAUUUCUGAUUUUUUUUUUAAAAGUGUAUCCAAAUGGACACUAAACUAUCUAGUUUUUAAUUGUUACAACUUUGAAUUGGAUUUUAUGGUAAACUAAUUUACAAGUUAAUGCAUGGAUUCAUCUUAGAUUCCAUCUAUAAAUUUUUUUAAUUAUCUAAUAUAAGACAUUAUAUUAAUGAGUUGAAUUAAUAAUGUAAUUAUAAUUUAUUUGGCAACUUUCUUCCUUCAAAUAUAUAAAAUGAAAAUAAAGUUUAAAAAAUAAAAAAAAUGAAAAAAAUAAAAAAUAAAAAAUGAUUUUUUUUAUAGUUUUUCUAAGAUGAUUUUGUAGAGUACUGUUAGUUUAUAGUUUUAACUUUAUUUCAUUUUACUUUUAACUUUAUUUAUUGAGGUAUGUUCUUUUUUGAAACUCUUGUUUAGAUUUUAUAGAGAAUAUAAAUUUUAAGAAAAAAAAUGAAAUUUAAAUAAAAUAAGAAUAAAGAAAGGCAAAAGGUGGAUGAAUUUUUUUAAGGCAAAAGUUUGAUAACUUGGCACUAUCAUGUAAUGGGUGAAAUUUUUAAAUACUCAACAAAGGCUAGUGAAAUUUAAAUUAAAAGCUUGACAUGUACCUUUUCGACCAAAAUCUUUGGAGUUGGUGUAAAGUUUUGAGUAUGAGAGAGGUUAGUCUAGGGAAUAUUAUUGCACAUUAGUUCAAAUAAAACAUCAACAUUUUUUUUUUGUUAAAUUCUAAAUGAACACCGCUAUAAAUUAAUGCGAUUUUGUAUGCUCAAUUAAAUAAACUUGUUCUUAAGGCAUCACAUGAAGUGUUUAAGUCUAAUUAAUAUUAAUUAAAAAUGAUUAUAUUAAAAAAAAUCCAAAGUAAUUUAUUUUUAUCAUAAGUCAAGUAGGAUAGUUUUAUAAAUAAUUGGUUCUAGUUUCUAGUACUAUUGUACACAAUCGCUAUGUUUGUUGCACCUCCAAAAAAUCUACUACUUGUAAUUAAUUGUAUAUUAUUCUCCAUAUUCACAUCAGUUUAUGUAGUAUGAUUAAUUUAGCAACAAAAUAUAAGUUUACUUGAAAUCGCUUUAAAUUCCUAUGAUAUUAAAGUUUAAGAUUAAAACAAUGUAACAUUAGCCAAAAAGAUUAAGAUCUAUAAUGUAACAUAUAAUAUUUAGAAAAUUCAAGGAAGGGUAAACUCGCACCUGUUCUACCCAGAAGAGUGGCUCAAGUUCACAUUCAUAAUUUAUUUGUUGAAAGAGUAUCUCCACUUUAUCACAAUCGAGCACUUCCAAUUCUUUCAGAAGUGGCCAGCUUGAACUAAACCUUCUAGAGAAAAAUCUUUUGAGUUGGUGUAAACCGGAGAGUGUAAGAGAGGUAAGGUUAGGGAAUAAGAGUAAAAGUGCUGCUUCAUCUUCAUUUUCAUUGGCAACAAUUGCCUCCACUCCACUUUCCGAUAUAUAUAGGUCCUCAAGUUGCACAAGAGCACUCGCCACAGAAACCGGAAAAAGGUUUAGCAAUUUGUUGCAUCCCCUUACUUGCAAUUUCCUUAAUUUGGAAAAUGAAUUUGCUGGAAGUUGGUCAGACCACAAUGCUCUUAUAUUAUCUAGUCCGCGUACAGACAAGGACUCCAAACCUGGGAGUGCAACCUGUGCAAUUGAUGAUCCCUUUAGUUAAUAAUAUAUACAUAUACAUUCCUAAUAAUUAGACACAUGUAAAUAGAAAAUAAGAGGUUAAAGGAGAAUAUAUCAGUAUAACAAAGCACAAAAUUUAAACUAGAUUCAAGAAGAUCAAGAAAGAGAAAAGAAAAGAAAAAGCCUCCAGAUUUUGAAGAUACAAUGAAACUUAACAAAAAAAAAAAAAAACCACCAAAUUUUCCUUUCGAAAUGAGGUAAUAAGAGGAUUUUUUUUUUUUCUUUUUUCUUUGCCUCUCUUUCAAAUUUGAUUAACUUCUAUGGAAAACGUAUUUUAACUAGUUAUGGAAAACAUAUUUUUUUUUUAAAAAACUUUUCUAUAAGAUACAAGUAAUACUUUAAAAAAAUUGUGAUAUCUAAAAAAUUUUUUGAAAAAUUAUUUUUAAAGAAAUAAGGUAAAUCUAUACUUUUUGUAUAAGAUGUUCUACCUUUAUAUACAAAUUUCUGAUUUUUUUUUUAAAAGUGUAUCCAAAUGGACACUAAACUAUCUAGUUUUUAAUUGUUACAACUUUGAAUUGGAUUUUAUGGUAAACUAAUUUACAAGUUAAUGCAUGGAUUCAUCUUAGAUUCCAUCUAUAAAUUUUUUUAAUUAUCUAAUAUAAGACAUUAUAUUAAUGGGUUGAAUUAAUAAUGUAAUUAUAAUUUAUUUGGCAAGUUUCUUCCUUCAAAUAUAUAAAAUGAAAAUAAAUUUUAAAAAAUAAAAAAAAUGAAAAAAAUAAAAAAUAAAAAAAGAUUUUUUUUAUAGUUUUUCUAAGAUGAUUUUGUAGAGUACUGUUAGUUUAUAGUUUUAACUUUAUUUCAUUUUACUUUUAACUUUAUUUAUUGAGGUAUGUUCUUUUUUGAAACUCUUGUUUAGAUUUUAUAGAGGAUAUAAAUUUUCAGAAAAAAAAAAUUAAAUUUAAAUAAAAUAGGAAUAAAGAAAGGCAAAAGGUGGAUGAAUUUUUUUAAGGCAAAAGUUUGAUAACUUGGCACUAUCAUGUAAUGGGUGAAAUUUUUAAAUACUCAACAAAGGCUAGUGAAAUUUAAAUUAAAAGCUUGACAUGUACCUUUUCGACCAAAAUCUUUGGAGUUGGUGUAAAGUUUUGAGUAUGAGAGAGGUUAGUCUAGGGAAUAUUAUUGCACAUUAGUUCAAAUAAAACAUCAACAUUUUUUUUUUUGUUAAAUUCUAAAUGAACACCACUAUAAAUUAAUGCGAUUUGUAUGCUCAAUUAAAUAAACUCGUUCUUAAGGCAUCACAUGAAGUGUUUAAGUCUAAUUAAUAUUAAUUAAAAAUGAUUAUUUUAAAAAAAUCCAAAGUAAUUUAUUUUUAUCAUAAGUCAAGUAGGAUAGUUUUAUAAAUAAUUGGUUCUAGUUUCUAGUAUUAUUGUACACAAUCGCUAUGUUUGUUGCACCUCCAAAAAAUCUACUACUUGUAAUUAAUUGUAUAUUAUUCUCCAUAUUCACAUCAGUUUAUGUAGUAUGAUUAAUUUAGCAACAAAAUAUAAGUUUACUUGAAAUCGCUUUAAAUUCCUAUGAUAUUAAAGUUUAAGAUUAAAACAAUGUAACAUUAGCCAAAAAGACUAAGAUCUAUAAUGUAACAUAUAAAAUUUAGAAAAUUCAAGGAAGGGUAAACUCGCACCUGUUCUACCCAGAAGAGUGGCUCAAGUUCACAUUCAGAAUUUAUUUGUUGAAAGAGUAUCUCCACUUUAUCACAAUCGAGCACUUCCAAUUCUUUCAGAAGUGGCCAGCUUGAACUAAACCUUCUAGAGCAAAAUCUUUUGAGUUGGUGUAAACCGGAGAGUGUGAGAGAGGUAAGGUUAGGGAAUGAGAGUAAAGGUGCUGCUUCAUCUUCAUUUUCAUUGGCAACAAUUGCCUCCACUCCACUCUCCGAUAUAUAAAGGUCCUCAAGUUGCACAAGAGCACUCGCCACAGAAACCGGAAAAAGGUUUAGCAAUUUGUUGCAUCCCCUUACUUGCAAUUUCCUUAAUUUGGAAAAUGAAUUUGCUGGAAGUUGGUCAGGCCACAAUGCUCUUAUAUUAUCUAGUCCGCGUACAGACAAGGACUCCAAACCUGGGAGUGCAACCUGUGCAAUUGAUGAUCCCUUUAGUUAAUAAUAUAUACAUAUACAUUCCUAAUAAUUAGACACAUGUAAAUAGAAAAUAAGAGGUUAAAGGAGAAUAUAUCAGUAUAACAAAGCACAAAAUUUAAACUCUAUUCAAGAAGAUCCAGAAAGAGAAAAGAAAACGCCUUUUGAUUUUGAAGAUCCAAUGAAACUUUAAAAAAAAAAAAAAAAACCUCCAAAUUUUGCUUUCCAAAUGAGGUAAUAGGAGGAUAUUUUUAUUUUAUUUUUUCUUUGCCUCUCUUUCAAAUUUGAUUAACUUCCAUGGAAAACGUAUUUUAACUAGCCAUGGAAAAUGGAUUUUUUUUUUAAAACUUUUAUAUAAGAUACAAGAACUCUUAGAGGGUUACAUUAUGUAAGUAAUACUUUAAAAAAAAUGUUUAAAAAUAUUGUGAUAUCCAAAAAUUUUACUACCUCGGAUUUUAAAUUUUAAAAAAAUUAUUUUUAAAGAAAUAAGGUAAAUCUAUACUUUUUCGUAUAAGAUAUUCUACCUUUAUAUACAAAUUUCUGAUUUUUUUUUUAAAGUGUAUCCAAAUGGACACUAAACUAUCUAGUUUCGAAUUUUUACAACUUUGAAUUGGAUUUUAUGGUAAACUAAUUGACAAUAUAACGCAUGGAUUCAUCUUAGAUUCCAUCUAUAAAUUUUUUAAUUAUCUAAUAUAAGACAUUAUAUUAAUGGGUUGAAUUAAUAAUGUAAUUAUAAUUUAUUUGGCAACUUUCUUCCUUCAAAUAUAUAAGACGAAAAUAUAUUUUAAAAAAUAAAAAAGAAUGAUAAAAAAUAGAAAAUAAAAAUAGCUUAUUUUAUUGUUUUUCUAAGAUGAUUUUGUAGAGUGUUAGUUUAUAGUUUAACUUUAUUUCAUUUUACUUUUAACAUUAUUUAUUGAGGUAUGUUCUUUUUUGAAACUCUUGUUUAGAUUUUAUAGAGAAUAUAAAUUUUAAGAAAAAAAAUGAAAUUUAAAUAAAAUAAGAAUAAAGAAAGGCAAAAGGUGGAUGAAUUUUUUGAAGGCAAAAGUUUGAUAAUUUGGCACUGUCAUGUAAUGGGUGAAAUUUUUAAAUACUCAACAAAGGCUAGUGAAAUUUAAAUUAAAACCUUGACAUGUACCUUUUCGACCAAAAUCUUUGGAGUUGGUGUAAAGUUUUGAGUAUGAGAGAGGUUAGUCUAGGGAAUAUUAUUGCACAUUAGUUCAAAUAAAACAUCAACAUUUUUUUUUGUUAAAUUCUAAAUGAACACCACUAUAAAUUAAUGCGAUUUUGUAUGCUCAAUUAAAUAAACUCGUUCUUAAGGCAUCACAUGAAGUGUUUAAGUCUAAUUAAUAUUAAUUAAAAAUGAUUAUAUCAAAAAAAAUCCAAAGUAAUUUUUUUUUAUCAUAAGUCAAGUAGGAUAGUUUUAUAAAUAAUUGGUUCUAGUUUCUAGUAUUAUUGUACACAAUCGCUAUGUUUGUUGCACCUCCAAAAAAUCUACUACUUGUAAUUAAUUGUAUAUUAUUCUCCAUAUUCACAUCAGUUUAUGUAGUAUGAUUAAUUUAGCAACAAAAUAUAAGUUUACUUGAAAUCGCUUUAAAUUCCUAUGAUAUUAAAGUUUAAGAUUAAAACAAUGUAACAUUAGCCAAAAAGACUAAGAUCUAUAAUGUAACAAAUAAAAUUUAGAAAAUUCAAGGCAGGGUAAACUCGCACCUGUUCUACCCAGAAGAGUGGCUCAAGUUCACAUUCAGAAUUUAUUUGUUGAAAGAGUAUCUCCACUUUAUCACAAUCGAGCACUUCCAAUUCUUUCAGAAGUAGCCAGCUUGAACUAAACCUUCUAGAGCAAAAUCUUUUGAGUUGGUGUAAACCGGAGAGUGUGAGAGAGGUAAGGUUAGGGAAUAAGAGUAAAGGUGCUGCUUCAUCUUCAUUUUCAUUGGCAACAAUUGCCUCCACUCCACUCUCCGAUAUAUAUAGGUCCUCAAGUUGCACAAGAGCACUCGCCACAGAAACCCGAAAAAGGUUUAGCAAUUUGUUGAAUCCCCUUACAUGCAAUUUCCUUAAUUUGGAAAAUGAAUUUGUUGGAAGUUGGUCAGGCCACAAUGCUCUUAUAUUAUCCAGUCCGCAUACAUACAAGGACUCCAAGCCUUGGAGUGCAACCUGUGCAAUUGAUAAUCCCUUUGGUUAAUAAUAUAUACAUAUACAUUCCUAAUGAUUAGACACAUGUAAAUAGAAAAUAAGAGGUUAAAGGAGAAUAUAUCAGUAUAACAAAGCACAAAAUUUAAACUAGAUUAAAGAAGAUCAAGAAAGAGAAAAGAAAAGAAAAAGCCUCCAGAUUUUGAAGAUACAAUGAAACUUAAAAAAAAAAAAAAAAAACCUCCAAAUUUUCCUUUCGAAAUGAGGUAAUAAGAGGAUUUUUUUUUUCUUUUUUCUUUGCCUCUCUUUCAAAUUUGAUUAACUUCUAUGGAAAACGUAUUUUAACUAGUUAUGGAAAACGGAUUUUUUUUUUUAAAAACUUUUAUAUAAGAUACAAGUAAUACUUUAAAAAAAUUGUGAUAUCUAAAAAAUUUUUUGAAAAAUUAUUUUUAAAGAAAUAAGGUAAAUCUAUACUUUUUGUAUAAGAUGUUCUACCUUUGUAUUCAAAUUUCUGAUUUUUUUUUUUUAAAGUGUAUCCAAAUGCACACUAAACUAUCUAGUUUUUAAUUGUUACAACUUUGAAUUGGAUUUUAUGGUAAACUAAUUUACAAGUUAAUGCAUAGAUUCAUCUUAGAUUCCAUCUAUAAAUUUUUUUAAUUAUCUAAUAUAAGACAGUAUAUUAAUGGGUUGAAUUAAUAAUGUAAUUAUAAUUUAUUUGGCAACUUUCUUCCUUCAAAUAUAUAAAAUGAAAAUAAAUUUUAAAAAAUAAAAAAUAAAAAAAAGAUUUUUUUUAUAGUUUUUCUAAGAUGAUUUUGUAGAGUUCUGUUAGUUUAUAGUUUUCACUUUAUUUAUUGAGGUAUGUUCUUUUUUGAAACUCUUGUUUAGAUUUUAUUGAGAAUAUAAAUUUUAAGAAAAAAAAUAAAAUUUAAAUAAAAUAAGAAUAAAGAAAGGCAAAAGCUGGAUGAAUUUUUUUAAGGCAAAAGUUUGAUAAUUUGGCACUCUCAUGUAAUGGGUGAAAUUUUUAAAUACUCAACAAAGGCUAGUGAAAUUUAAAUUAAAACCAUGACAUGUACCUUUUAGACCAAAAUCUUUGGAGUUGGUGUAAUGUUUUGAGUAUGAGAGAGGUUAGUCUAGGGAAUAUUAUUGCACAUUAGUUCAAAUAAAACAUCAACAUUUUUUUUUGUUAAAUUCUAAAUGAACACCACUAUAAAUUAAUGCGAUUUUGUAUGCUCAAUUAAAUAAACUCGUUCUUAAGGCAUCACAUGAAGUGUUUAAGUCUAAUUAAUAUUAAUUAAAAAUGAUUAUAGUAAAAAAAAUCCAAAGUAAUUUUUUUUUAUCAUAAGUCAAGUAGGAUAGUUUUAUAAAUAAUUGGUUCUAGUUUCUAGUAUUAUUGUAGACAAUCGCUAUGUUUGUUGCACCUCCAAAAAAUCUACUACUUGUAAUUAAUUGUAUAUUAUUCUCCAUAUUCACAUCAGUUUAUGUAGUAUGAUUAAUUUAGCAACAAAAUAUAAGUUUACUUGAAAUGGCUUUAAAUUCCUAUGAUAUUAAAGUUUAAGAUUAAAACAAUGUAACAUUAGCAAAAAAGAUUAAGAUCUAUAAUGUAACAAAUAAAAUUUAGAAAAUUCAAGGCAGGGUAAACUCGCACCUGUUCUACCCAGAAGAGUGGCUCAAGUUCACAUUCAGAAUUUAUUUGUUGAAAGAGUAUCUCCACUUUAUCACAAUCGAGCACUUCCAAUUCUUUCAGAAGUAGCCAGCUUGAACUAAACCUUCUAGAGCAAAAUCUUUUGAGUUGGUGUAAACCGGAGAGUGUGAGAGAGGUAAGGUUAGGGAAUAAGAGUAAAGGUGCUGCUUCAUCUUCAUUUUCAUUGGCAACAAUUGCCUCCACUCCACUCUCUGAUAUAUAUAGGUCCUCAAGUUGCACAAGAGCACUCGCCACAGAAACCCGAAAAAGGUUUAGCAAUUUGUUGAAUCCCCUUACAUGCAAUUUCCUUAAUUUGGAAAAUGAAUUUGUUGGAAGUUGGUCAGGCCACAAUGCUCUUAUAUUAUCCAGUCCGCAUACAUACAAGGACUCCAAGCCUGGGAGUGCAACCUGUGCAAUUGAUAAUCCCUUUGGUUAAUAAUAUAUACAUAUACAUUCCUAAUAAUUAGACACAUGUAAAUAGAAAAUAAGAGGUUAAAGGAGAAUAUAUCAGUAUAACAAAGCACAAAAUUUAAACUAGAUUAAAGAAGAUCAAGAAAGAGAAAAGAAAAGAAAAAGCCUCCAGAUUUUGAAGAUACAAUGAAACUUAAAAAAAAAAAAAAAAAACCUCCAAAUUUUCCUUUCGAAAUGAGGUAAUAAGAGGAUUUUUUUUUUAUUUUUUCUUUGCCUCUCUUUCAAAUUUGAUUAACUUCUAUGGAAAACGCAUUUUAACUAGUUAUGGAAAACGGAUUUUUUUUUUUUAAAACUUUUAUAUAAGAUACAAGUAAUACUUUAAAAAAAUUGUGAUAUCUAAAAAAUUUUUUGAAAAAUUAUUUUUAAAGAAAUAAGGUAAAUCUAUACUUUUUGUAUAAGAUGUUCUACCUUUGUAUUCAAAUUUCUGAUUUUUUUUUUUAAAGUGUAUCCAAAUGCACAAUAAACUACCUAGUUUUUAAUUGUUACAACUUUGAAUUGGAUUUUAUGGUAAACUAAUUUACAAGUUAAUGCAUGGAUUCAUCUUAGAUUCCAUCUAUAAAUUUUUUUAAUUAUCUAAUAUAAGACAUUAUAUUAAUGGGUUGAAUUAAUAAUGUAAUUAUAAUUUAUUUGGCAACUUUCUUCCUUCAAAUAUAUAAAAUGAAAAUAAAUUUUAAAAAAUAAAAAAAAUGAAAAAAUAAAAAAUAAAAAAAAGAUUUUUUUUAUAGUUUUUCUAAGAUGAUUUUGUAGAGUACUGUUAGUUUAUAGUUUUCACUUUAUUUAUUGAGGUAUGUUCUUUUUUGAAACUCUUGUUUAGAUUUUAUUGAGAAUAUAAAUUUUAAGAAAAAAAAUGAAAUUUAAAUAAAAUAAGAAUAAAGAAAGGCAAAAGGUGGAUGAAUUUUUUUACGGCAAAAGUUUGAUAAUUUGGCACUAUCAUGUAAUGGGUGAAAUUUUUAAAUACUCAACAAAGGCUAGUGAAAUUUAAAUUAAAACCUUGACAUGUACCUUUUAGACCAAAAUCUUUGGAGUUGGUGUAAAGUUUUGAGUAUGAGAGAGGUUAGUCUAGGGAAUAUUAUUGCACAUUAGUUCAAAUAAAACAUCAACAUUUUUUUUUGUUAAAUUCUAAAUGAACACCACUAUAAAUUAAUGCGAUUUUGUAUGCUCAAUUAAAUAAACUCGUUCUUAAGGCAUCACAUGAAGUAUUUAAGUCUAAUUAAUAUUAAUUAAAAAUGAUUAUAGUAAAAAAAAUCCAAAGUAAUUUUUUUUUAUCAUAAGUCAAGUAGGAUAGUUUUAUAAAUAAUUGGUUCUAGUUUCUAGUAUUAUUGUAGACAAUCGCUAUGUUUGUUGCACCUCCAAAAAAUCUACUACUUGUAAUUAAUUGUAUAUUAUUCUCCAUAUUCACAUCAGUUUAUGUAGUAUGAUUAAUUUAGCAACAAAAUAUAAGUUUACUUGAAAUGGCUUUAAAUUCCUAUGAUAUUAAAGUUUAAGAUUAAAACAAUGUAACAUUAGCCAAAAAGAUUAAGAUCUAUAAUGUAACAUAUAAAAUUUAGAAAAUUCAAGGAAGGGUAAACUCGCACCUGUUCUACCCAGAAGAGUGGCUCAAGUUCACAUUCAGAAUUUAUUUGUUGAAAGAGUAUCUCCACUUUAUCACAAUAGAGCACUUCCAAUUCUUUCAGAAGUGGCCAGCUUGAACUAAACCUUCUAGAGCAAAAUCUUUUGAGUUGGUGUAAACCGGAGAGUGUGAGAGAGGUAAGGUUAGGGAAUAAGAGUAAAGGUGCUGCCUCAUCUUCAUUUUCAUUGGCAACAAUUGCCUCCACUCCACUCUGAAAUAUAUUUAGGUUCUCAAGUUGCACAAGAGCACUCGCCACAGAAACCGGAAAAAGGUUUAGCAAUUUGUUGCAUCCCCUUACUUGCAAUUCCCUUAAUUUGGAAAAUGAAUUUGCUGGAAGUUGGUCAGGCCACAAUGCUCUUAUAUUAUCUAGUCCGCAUACAGAAAAGGACUCCAAGCCUGGGAGUGCAACCUGUGCAAUUGAUGAUCCCUUUAGUUAAUAAUAUAUACAUAUACAUUCCUAAUAAUUAGCACAUGUAAAUAGAAAAUAAGAGGUUAAAGGAGAAUAUAUCAGUAUAACAAAGCACAAAAUUUAAACUAGAUUCAAGAAGAUCAAGAAAGAGAAAAGAAAAGAAAAAGCCUCCAGAUUUUAAAGAUACAAUGAAACUUAAAAAAAAAAAAAAAAAACCUCCAAAUUUUCCUUUCGAAAUGAGGUAAUAAGAGGAUUUUUUUUUUUUUCUUUUUUCUUUGCCUCUCUUUCAAAUUUGAUUAACUUCUAUGGAAAACGUAUUUUAACUAGUUAUGGAAAACGGAUUUUUUUUUUAAACUUUUAUAUAAGAUACAAGUAAUACUUUUAAAAAAUUGUGAUAUCUAAAAAAGUUUUUGAAAAAUUAUUUUUAAAGAAAUAAGGUAAAUCUAUACUUUUUGUAUAAGAUCUUCUACCUUUAUAUACAAAUUUCUGAUUUUUUUUUUUAAAGUGUAUCCAAAUGGACACUAAACUAUCUAGUUUUUAAUUGUUACAACUUUGAAUUGGAUUUUAUGGUAAACUAAUUUACAAGUUAAUGCAUGGAUUCAUCUUAGAUUCCAUCUAUAAAUUUUUUUAAUUAUCUAAUAUAAGACAUUAUAUUAAUGGGUUGAAUUAAUAAUGUAAUUAUAAUUUAUUUGGCAACUUUCUUCCUUCAAAUAUAUAAAAUGAAAAUAAAUUUUAAAAAAUAAAAAAGAAUGAAAAAAAUAAAAAAUAAAAAAAGCUUUUUUUUAUAGUUUUUCUAAGAUGAUUUUGUAGAGUACUGUUAGUUUAUAGUUUUAACUUUAUUUCAUUUUACUUUUAACUUUAUUUAUUGAGGUAUGUUCUUUUUUGAAACUCUUGUUUAGAUUUUAUAGAGAAUAUAAAUUUUAAGAAAAAAAAAGGAAAUUUAAAUAAAAUAAGAAUAAAGAAAGGCAAAAGGUGGAUGAAUUUUUUUAAGGCAAAAGUUUGAUAAUUUGGCACUAUCAUGUAAUGGGUGAAAUUUUUAAAUACUCAACAAAGGCUAGUGAAAUUUAAAUUAAAAGCUUGACAUGUACCUUUUCGACCAAAAUCUUUGGAGUUGGUGUAAAGUUUUGAGUAUGAGAGAGGUUAGUCUAGGGAAUAUUAUUGCACAUUUGUUCAAAUAAAACAUCAACAUUUUUUUUUGUUAAAUUCUAAAUGAACACCACUAUAAAUUAAUGCGAUUUUGUAUGCUCAAUUAAAUAAACUCAUUCUUAAGGCAUCACAUGAAGUGUUUAAGUCUAAUUAAUAUUAAUUAAAAAUGAUUAUAUUAAAAAAAAUCCAAAGUAAUUUAUUUUUAUCAUAAGUCAAGUAGGAUAGUUUUAUAAAUAAUUGGUUCUAGUUUCUAGUAUUAUUGUACACAAUCGCUAUGUUUGUUGCACCUCCAAAAAUCUACUACUUGUAAUUAAUUGUAUAUUAUUCUCCAUAUUCACAUCAGUUUAUGUAGUAUGAUUAAUUUAGCAACAAAAUAUAAGUUUACUUGAAAUCGCUUUAAAUUCCUAUGAUAUUAAAGUUUAAGAUUAAAACAAUUUAACAUUAGCCAAAAAGAUUAAGAUCUAUAAUGUAACAUAUAAAAUUUAGAAAAUUCAAGGAAGGGUAAACUCGCACCUGUUCUACCCAGAAGAGUGGCUCAAGUUCACAUUCAGAAUUUAUUUGUUGAAAGAGUAUCUCCACUUUAUCACAAUCGAGCACUUCCAAUUCUUUCAGAAGUGGCCAACUUGAACUAAACUUUCUAGAGCAAAAUCUUUUGAGUUGGUGUAAACCGGAGAGUGUGAGAGAGGUAAGGUUAGGGAAUAAAAGUAAAAGUGCUGCUUCAUCUUCAUUUUCAUUGUGAACAAUUGCCUCCACUCCACUAUAAAAUAUAUUUAGGUUCUCAAGUUGCACAAGAGCACUCGCCACAGAAACCGGAAAAAGGUUUAGCAAUUUGUUGCAUCCCCUUACUUGCAAUUUCCUUAAUUUGGAAAAUGAAUUUGCUGGAAGUUGGUCAGGCCACAAUGCUCUUAUAUUAUCUAGUCCGCAUACAGACACGGACUCCAAGCCUGGGAGUGCAACCUGUGCAAUUGAUGAUCCCUUUAGUUAAUAAUAUAUACAUAUACAUUCCUAAUAAUUAGACACAUGUAAAUAGAAAAU